Molecule: non-coding RNA, 126 nt
Organism: Triticum aestivum (bread wheat)
Lineage: Eukaryota; Viridiplantae; Streptophyta; Magnoliopsida; Poales; Poaceae
Source: Rfam
UGUGUACUUCCUCCGUCCGAAAAAGCUUGUCGCAAACUUGUCCCUCGAAUUGAUGUAUCUAGCACUAAGUUAGUGCUAGAUACAUCCAUUUGAAGGACAAGCUUUUUCGGACGGAGGGAGUAUGUA